UACAGAGGUCCCAAGCGUUGUUCGGAUUCACUGGGCGUAAAGGGUGCGUAGGCGGCCGGAUAAGUCUGAUGUGAAAUCCCGCAGCUCAACUGCGGAACUGCAUCGGAUACUAUUUGGCUCGAGGAUUGGAAGGGAGACUGGAAUUCUUGGUGUAGCAGUGAAAUGCGUAGAUAUCAAGAGGAACACCAGUGGCGAAAGCGAGUCUCUGGACAAUUCCUGACGCUGAGGCACGAAAGCCAGGGGAGCAAACGGG
This 253-nucleotide ribosomal RNA is filed under the name uncultured bacterium. RNAcentral's name for it is "partial 16S ribosomal RNA". It matches the Rfam family "Bacterial small subunit ribosomal RNA", at positions 524 to 776 of the family's 1533-position model. The record is from RNAcentral.